CAACUCUMAACAACGGAUAUCUUGGCUCUCGCAACGAUGAUCAGCGUCGUUUUGACACAUCACUCCCAUACCUUUUGGUAUCAUGCAUCGAGCUAAAGGCUUGAUGCUGGGCGUGGAUCUGGCUUUCCCAGGGCAUCCCUGGGUUAGCUGAAGUGCAGAGGCUAGAGCACGGACCCUUAUGGGCGUCAACUGGAUAGGUAGCCCCCACGUAAGUGGAUCUACACGAAGUUGUCUGCCUGGGAAACGUGUUGGCGGCCAAACAGGAAACUACUCUCACUUCGACCUGAGCUCAGGCAAGAUUACCCGCUGAACUUAAGCAUAUCAAUAAGCGGUGGAA
This 337-nucleotide ribosomal RNA is filed under the name Pediastrum duplex. RNAcentral's name for it is "eukaryotic LSU rRNA". Lineage: Eukaryota; Viridiplantae; Chlorophyta; Chlorophyceae; Sphaeropleales; Hydrodictyaceae. The record is from RNAcentral.